RNAcentral lists this ribosomal RNA (416 nucleotides) under Pleosporales sp. nc_besc_184d. RNAcentral describes it as "eukaryotic LSU rRNA". The stretch from base 47 to 200 matches the Rfam family "5.8S ribosomal RNA". Lineage: Eukaryota; Fungi; Ascomycota; Dothideomycetes; Pleosporales. The record is from RNAcentral.
AAACCUGUUUAAUUUUCAAUCAGCGUCUGAACAAAUUAAUAAUUACAACUUUCAACAACGGAUCUCUUGGUUCUGGCAUCGAUGAAGAACGCAGCGAAAUGCGAUAAGUAGUGUGAAUUGCAGAAUUCAGUGAAUCAUCGAAUCUUUGAACGCACAUUGCGCCCCUUGGUAUUCCAUGGGGCAUGCCUGUUCGAGCGUCAUUUGUACCUUCAAGCUCUGCUUGGUGUUGGGUGUUUGUCCUUGCUCUAGUGGCGGGACUCGCCUUAAAGUAAUUGGCAGCCAGUGUUUUGGUUUUGAAGCGCAGCACAAGUCGCGAUUCAAGUCUAUACGCUAGUUUCCACAAGUCUUUUAUCACUUUUGACCUCGGAUCAGGUAGGGAUACCCGCUGAACUUAAGCAUAUCAAUAAGCGGAGGAG